CACUCUUGCAGUGCAGCUCGAGCAGCGCACGGUACCACUCAUCCUGAUCCGCCUCGCUCUCUGCGGCCACGGCGAAGCUCUCUGCGCGCGUGUAGAGCACGAUCAUGUGCUUGUGCUUGGCGUCCGCACGCUUGUUGAUGUUGAAGCACGUCUCGAGCGCGAGGGCCCGUUUGGGCGCCGCUGCUUUGCUGCCGCGGAACUUCUUCUCGCUCUCGUAGUACUCCAGGCGCGCGGGACCGCGCUCCGAGGCCGCGCGCAACACGAAGUAGCGCCGGUGCAUGGACUUCUGCUUGCGGAGAAUUCCUGCCACAUCAGCUGCGUGGUCAACCUUCCAUUUGCAGGCAACAUACUUCUCUGUUCCAGAGUCCUCUUCUUCCCUCCUGAUGUGCCUCCAGCCAUGUUCCACCCACUCCACCCCACCCCACUAGUUAAGCGUCAUGCCUUCAACACAGUGGCCAGGGUUUGACCCCCAGCCUCAGAAUUCCUGCCGCAUCAGCUAUGCCAUCCACCUGCCAUUUGCAAGCUAUCCACCGCUCCAUUCCCAAGUCCUCUUCUCCGCUCCUGGUCUGAUUCUGGCCAUGCCCCCCCUGCUGGCAUGCUGGUUAAGCAUCAUGCUUUCAACACAGUGACCAAGGUUUAAUCCCUGACUCAGACGUCUAUGCACCACUCACUUAUUUUCCUGCACAGUAAAUAAAUACUGCACCUUCAA
Long non-coding RNA from Neoarius graeffei (lesser salmon catfish), 709 nucleotides. RefSeq lists it as uncharacterized. Lineage: Eukaryota; Metazoa; Chordata; Actinopteri; Siluriformes; Ariidae. The record is from RefSeq and is a predicted model, not a curated record. The transcript is spliced from 3 exons.